CCUUGAGGAUAUGAUUUGCGC
This 21-nucleotide non-coding RNA is filed under the name Arabidopsis thaliana (thale cress). The record is from RNAcentral. Lineage: Eukaryota; Viridiplantae; Streptophyta; Magnoliopsida; Brassicales; Brassicaceae.